This 253-nucleotide ribosomal RNA is filed under the name uncultured bacterium. Its description in RNAcentral is "partial 16S ribosomal RNA". It matches the Rfam family "Bacterial small subunit ribosomal RNA", at positions 524 to 776 of the family's 1533-position model. The record is from RNAcentral.
UACGGAGGGUGCAAGCGUUGUCCGGAUUUAUUGGGUUUAAAGGGUGCGUAGGCGGUUCUUUAAGUCCGGGGUGAAAGCCCACUGCUCAACAGUGGAACUGCCCUGGAAACUGGAGGACUUGAGUACAGACGAGGGUGGCGGAAUGGAUACUGUAGCGGUGAAAUGCAUAGAUAGUAUCCAGAACACCGAUUGCGAAGGCAGCUGCCUAGACUGUAACUGACGCUGAGGCACGAAAGCGUGGGGAGCGAACAGG